CGUUGAAACACAUGUCCUCGUACGAUCACCGAAGUUAAGCAUUGUCGAUAUCGGUCAGUACCUACAUGGGUGACCGCUUAGGAAUACCAAGUAUUGUAAG
Non-coding RNA from Acanthosepion pharaonis, 100 nucleotides. The record is from the annotation of a GenBank genome assembly. NCBI's taxonomy places the organism in Eukaryota, Metazoa, Mollusca, Cephalopoda, Sepiida, Sepiidae.